Molecule: ribosomal RNA, 1899 nt
Filed under: Triticum aestivum (bread wheat)
Lineage: Eukaryota; Viridiplantae; Streptophyta; Magnoliopsida; Poales; Poaceae
Description: partial small subunit ribosomal RNA
Source: RNAcentral
AUGGCGCUGCCACGCCACCGCCGCUCGCCGCCGGCGCUUCCAGACCACCUCCUCGAGGAAAUCUUCUCUCGCCUCCCUCCCAGCGAACCCUCAUGCCUCCUCCGCGCCUGCCUCGUCUGCAAGCACUGGCGCGACAUCAUCUCCGCCCCCAGCUUCCUCCGCCACCUCCACGCGCACCGCCGGGCACCCAAGAUGCUAGGGUUCCUCCAGCACUCGGAAGGUGAUGAGUAUCUCCCCGUCUACGUGCCCACCUCCCCCUACUCCUUCCCCGUCCCCGACCCCCCCGCCUGGCACGUCCUCGGUUACCGGCACGGCCGCGCCGUAUUCGUCUCCGAGACUACCGACCGGGAGCUCCUCGUCUGGGAGCCGUUCACAGGCAACCGGUGGAGCGUGCCGGUACCCACGGAACUCAACAUCGGGCACUCCAACGCCACCGUGCUCUGUGCGGCGGAGGGGUGCGACCAUCUCAACUGCCACGGGGGGCCCUUCCGCAUUGUCUUGGUGUUCACCAGCCCCUUCGACGAGGAAACAGAGUGGGUCACGUCGGCGUGCCAAUACUCGUCGGAGACCGGCGCCUGGGGUGAGGUGGCCUUGGCCUGGCCCUGGUGCGAUGGCUUUUCCUUGCUCUGUGAGAAUCCUGGCCUGCUCGUGGGGAAUUCUCUGCUCUACUUCCUGUUCCUUGAUGGGCACAUCCUCGAGUACAACUUGGCUGAGCAUGUCCUCAAUGUGAUCGACCCACCGGAACCGGACAUUGAUGCUGCAUUCUCGCAGAGAGUUAUGCUGGUUCAGGCGGAGGAUGGUGGGCUGGGAAUUGCUAAAGCUGAUGACGAUGGGUGGAAUCAUCUCUACCUCUGGUCAAGGAAGGUCAGUGAAGGAGGUGAUGCAGAAUGGGUGGAGUGCCCGUUCAUGUACCUCGGCGAUUCGCUUCCAUUUGCUGCUAGGUCGUCGUCCUCAAGAAUAACAGUGUUUCUGAUGGGCUUUGUCGAGGGAGUGAAUACCAUUUUGGUGAGCACGGAUGAUGGCUUCUUUUCAAUCGAGCUCCAGUCCAAGCGGGGGAGGAAGAUGUGCAAGGACUACCCUUUGGUUCCAGUUGUCAGCUCCUACUCUACACUCCGGGUACCUCAAGUUGAUCACGAUGGCCUGGGCUCUCCGGACUUCAAUGGUGAGUCAGAUGAUGAGGAGUGGGAGUGGGAAGCACUAAGGCAGGCAGAGUCGCUGUUUUACAGUGGGUCCAGGGCCAUCAAGGAGGGGGACUUUGUUGCCGCUGUUGAUUGCCUCAGCCGCGUCCUGGCGAUCAGUGGAGCAAUCGGGGUGUUUAGUUCUGAUUAUACCACUCUAUCUCAGAUUACAUUCUGUUCUAUGGAAGUAUCUUAUAACCUCAACAAUGACAAAUCUACUCCUUUGUUGUCACCUAGGGUUGCACAUUAUGGUGAACUUGCUCCGGAAUGUGCUAGCGUGUAUUACAAAUAUGGACGUGCCUUCCUAUGGAAAGCUCAGAAGGCAACUAAUCCUCUGGGAAACCUUCCCGAGAAGGGUACAAUCAGCAAAGCUCAGAGUGAAGAACGGGAAAACUCAAAUGGCGAAGAUCAGGAGGAUAGGAAGGGAUACAAUGAGAUGGCAGGCGCUGGAGAUGUUUCUGAUGUGGAUCUUGCUGGGAAAAUGUUAGAUACUGCAAGAGUAAUAAUGGAAAAGAGCACAGACAACACUGUGGAGAUAUCAAGAAUCCUUUCUGCUCUCACUGAAGUCUCCAUGGAAAAGAGAAAAAGCAGUACUAUUUGCAUCCUUCCGGAGGUGGGUCUCUGUGGUUUUAGGGGUACUAAAUUUUCAGUUAGAUACUUGCUGGUAUCUUGUAGAUUUGGUUGGUCUUCCUGUUGCUUAUCCCCCUUAAAUCAGUCCUAG